This is a long non-coding RNA of Molossus molossus (Pallas's mastiff bat), 595 nucleotides long. RefSeq lists it as uncharacterized. NCBI's taxonomy places the organism in Eukaryota, Metazoa, Chordata, Mammalia, Chiroptera, Molossidae. The record is from RefSeq and is a predicted model, not a curated record. The transcript has 4 exons.
CUGUGACUUCUCAGAAAGCAGGCGUAUAAACAGUGCUGCUGCUCCCGAUCACGCACUUUCCCCAAACUGGAGCCAGCCAACCAGCUGACUUUAAGACCAGAGCAGCACAAAGCUAGGUUACUUCGGCCUUCGGAACUUCAAAUGGAAGGUCUCCUCUUAUGAAGCCCACAUCACACGGCCCGCUGGUGGCAGCCUGAUACGAGGCCAUCAAGCUAGAUAUCCUGUCGAUAAAGGAGUUUGAUCAUGGAAUACUUAUUAGCAACAUCAGAUUUCUAGACUUGGAAGGAAUUCAUUUCUAGCUCUGCAGAAAUAUCUAUCCACUUUGUAUCUACGGACUUGAGUAGUAGACUAGCUUUCUGACAUUCAGGCCCUUUGCAUCUUUACAUUCCUCAAGUAAGGUCUCCAUGCCCACAUGUCCGUUGUGUUUACACUACAGCACACUGGACAUCACCGUGACUGUCGUGGCCCACAGCCCCCAAGCAUGCCAGCGCUGGGAAUGAUAAAGUUGAGCAGCUGUUCCAAGUUAAAAGAAUGAAGGGAGGUGGCAAUUAAAUGCAAUUCAUGACCUUGAAUCAGGAAGAAGUUUUGCUCUAAA